AGUGAACGCUGGCGGCGUGCCUAACACAUGCAAGUCGAACGAUGACGGAGAGCUUGCUCUCCUGAUUAGUGGCGCACGGGUGAGUAUACCAUAGAUAAUGUACACCUUAGUUCGGGAUAGCCAAUGGAAACGGUGAUUAAUAACGGAUACUCCUUCUCAUUAUAAGAUGAGUCGGGAAAGUUUUUUCGCUAAGGGAUCAGUCUAUGUCCUAUCAGCUAGUUGGUGAGGUAAUGGCUCACCAAGGCUAUGACGGGUAUCUGGUUUGAGAGGAUGAUCAGACACACUGGAACUGAGACACGGUCCAGACUCCUACGGGAGGCAGCAGUGAGGAAUAUUGCACAAUGGAGGAAACUCUGAUGCAGCAACGCCGCGUGGAGGAUGACGCAUUUCGGUGUGUAAACUCCUUUUAAGAGGGAAGAUUAUGACGGUACCUCUUGAAUAAGCACCGGCUAACUCCGUGCCAGCCGCCGCCGUAA
RNAcentral lists this ribosomal RNA (476 nucleotides) under uncultured bacterium. Its description in RNAcentral is "partial 16S ribosomal RNA". It matches the Rfam family "Bacterial small subunit ribosomal RNA", at positions 29 to 523 of the family's 1533-position model. The record is from RNAcentral.